This 252-nucleotide ribosomal RNA is filed under the name uncultured bacterium. RNAcentral's name for it is "partial 16S ribosomal RNA". It matches the Rfam family "Bacterial small subunit ribosomal RNA", at positions 524 to 776 of the family's 1533-position model. The record is from RNAcentral.
UACGGAGGAUGCGAGCGUUAUCCGGAUUUAUUGGGUUUAAAGGGUGCGUAGGCGGACUGUCAAGUCAACGGUAAAAUUGAGAGGCUCAACCUUUUCCCGCCGUUGAAACUGGUGGUCUUGAGUGGAUGAGAAGUACGCGGAAUGCGUGGUGUAGCGGUGAAAUGCAUAGAUAUCACGCAGAACUCCGAUUGCGAAGGCAGCGUACCGGCAUCCAACUGACGCUGAGGCACGAAAGCGUGGGGAUCAAACAGG